UGGGGGUACUACCACAGAGCUACAUCCCUAUCCCUUUUUACUUUUUUAAGAAGACAGGGUCUUGCUAAAUUACUGAGGGUGGCCUCAAACUUGCAAUCCUCCUGCCUCAGCCUCCAAAGUCAGUGAGAUUACAGGUAUGUGCCAUGAUGCCCAGCUAGACCAGAAUUUUUAAAACACCAUAAAAAAUUAUGACCACAGCCAGAAAAAAUUAAUAAUUUGAGCAAGAAAUCACCUGGUUUUUGAAUUUUCAAAUUUAUCCUUAUAAAGGAACAUACAACUGUUUCUCUCUGCCUCCUUUUUUCCAUCCUGCCUUUCUUUAUAUUCAUUUAUUAGUCAUUAAUUUGUUCAUCAGACUUUUUGAGUGCCUACUUUAGGAGAUGAAAAAGCAUGUUUCAGAUGGAAAACUUUGGAGUCAGACUCUAGAGUUUCAUUCACAGUCUAUUUUUCAUAAGUCGUAUGCCUUUAAGCAAUUUACCUCACCUCAGUAUGCCUUGGUUUUCUCAGUAGUAAAUUGGGGAUGAUAAUAGUACCUAUUUCAAUGUAGUAUACUGAUUAAAUGAAUAAGCCAGAAAAGCUCUUAGCAUAUGUUUAACACAUUGUAAACCCUAAAAAAACAACAACAUAAAAAACCACCACCAACAACAACAACAAAAAACUACCCAAUGUAGAAUGUAGUCAGGAUAAAAGAG
Molecule: long non-coding RNA, 689 nt
Filed under: Marmota monax (woodchuck)
Lineage: Eukaryota; Metazoa; Chordata; Mammalia; Rodentia; Sciuridae
Source: RNAcentral